AAAAUAUUAAUUAAAAUACUUAUUAAACACUAGGUUAAAGUCAUCACUCAUGCCAUUUUUUACUUAUUAUUCACAAAAACUUAACUUUGUAAACGUUAAAAUAUGAAAUUAGGGGCUUUUGAACGCAUUCAAACUAAAAAUCAAAAUACUCUGUGAACCUGUGAAAACACUCCCUCCACUUCAUUCAUACAACAUACAAUAACAAUGAUAAAACAAAAUUACAAAUGGAAUUUCCUUAUUUAAAUAGAUAUUUGUGCACUAAAUACAUAAUAAUAUGACAAAGAAGAAGAAGACGUUGCGUGUCACCGUAUAGCCAAGGAAAUAUCUUGUGAAAGUUUUAACUCAAGGCGGAAAUUUAUUGAAAAAAUACUCAACAUAACCUACAAUUACAGUGAAAUACUGAAAAUAUCUUGUACCGUGAUAAUAUUUCUGAAUAAUAAGUGCAAACCCGGUUGAAAGCACGAUCUUAGAGUAUCUAAGAUCGUGCUUUCAACCACAUACUUAAUACAAUUCCAUAAUCAUAUCGAAAUCCAAAAGUUCGUAAGUCGUAAGUGAUCAUAGUUUAGGUGUGUACUUAUUAGACUCAUGCAUUGUAAACUCUAUAAACGAUUACUCGUAAUGUAUUAAUCAUAUUAAAAGUUGAA
Plutella xylostella (diamondback moth) is the source of this 644-nucleotide long non-coding RNA. RefSeq lists it as uncharacterized. NCBI's taxonomy places the organism in Eukaryota, Metazoa, Arthropoda, Insecta, Lepidoptera, Plutellidae. The record is from RefSeq and is a predicted model, not a curated record.